Molecule: ribosomal RNA, 700 nt
Filed under: uncultured bacterium
Lineage: Bacteria
Description: bacterial SSU rRNA
Rfam family: Bacterial small subunit ribosomal RNA
Source: RNAcentral
AGAGUUUGAUCAUGGCUCAGAUUGAACGCUGGCGGCAUGCUUUACACAUGCAAGUCGAACGGUAACAGGCCGCAAGGUGCUGACGAGUGGCGAACGGGUGAGUAAUGCAUCGGAACGUGCCCAGUCGUGGGGGAUAACGCAGCGAAAGCUGCGCUAAUACCGCAUACGAUCUAUGGAUGAAAGCGGGGGACCGUAAGGCCUCGCGCGAUUGGAGCGGCCGAUGUCAGAUUAGGUAGUUGGUGGGGUAAAGGCUCACCAAGCCAACGAUCUGUAGCUGGUCUGAGAGGACGACCAGCCACACUGGGACUGAGACACGGCCCAGACUCCUACGGGAGGCAGCAGUGGGGAAUUUUGGACAAUGGGCGCAAGCCUGAUCCAGCAAUGCCGCGUGCAGGAAGAAGGCCUUCGGGUUGUAAACUGCUUUUGUACGGAACGAAACGGCUCUGGUUAAUACCUGGGGCUAAUGACGGUACCGUAAGAAUAAGCACCGGCUAACUACGUGCCAGCAGCCGCGGUAAUACGUAGGGUGCAAGCGUUAAUCGGAAUUACUGGGCGUAAAGCGUGCGCAGGCGGUUUUGUAAGACAGGCGUGAAAUCCCCGGGCUCAACCUGGGAAUGGCGCUUGUGACUGCAAAGCUGGAGUGCGGCAGAGGGGGAUGGAAUUCCGCGUGUAGCAGUGAAAUGCGUAGAUAUGCGGAGGA